GGCUGGUCUGAAUGCAGCGAUGUUUACAACAGGCUGAUCACAACCAGUUACAGAUUUGUUUCUUCUCCACUCCCACUGCUUUCCAUAACUAGCCUAAA
This 98-nucleotide non-coding RNA is filed under the name Nomascus leucogenys (northern white-cheeked gibbon). The record is from RNAcentral. Lineage: Eukaryota; Metazoa; Chordata; Mammalia; Primates; Hylobatidae.